This 253-nucleotide ribosomal RNA is filed under the name uncultured bacterium. Its description in RNAcentral is "partial 16S ribosomal RNA". It matches the Rfam family "Bacterial small subunit ribosomal RNA", at positions 524 to 776 of the family's 1533-position model. The record is from RNAcentral.
UACAGAGGUCCCAAGCGUUGUUCGGAAUUACUGGGCGUAAAGGGCUCGUAGGUGGCCAACUAAGUCAGACGUGAAAUCCCUCGGCUUAACCGGGGAACUGCGUCUGAUACUGGAUGGCUUGAGGUUGGGAGAGGGAUGCGGAAUUCCUGGUGUAGCGGUGAAAUGCGCAGAUAUCAGGAGGAACACCGAUGGCGAAGGCAGGUCUCUGGGCUGAUACUGACGCUGAGGAGCGAAAGCGUGGGGAGCGAACAGG